Regulatory RNA element from Paenibacillus sp. FSL H7-0737, 149 nucleotides. It matches the Rfam family "FMN riboswitch aptamer (RFN element)". Rfam says of the family: The RFN element is a highly conserved domain that is found frequently in the 5'-untranslated regions of prokaryotic mRNAs that encode for flavin mononucleotide (FMN) biosynthesis and transport proteins. This element is a metabolite-dependent riboswitch that directly binds FMN in the absence of proteins. Lineage: Bacteria; Bacillati; Bacillota; Bacilli; Caryophanales; Paenibacillaceae. The record is from Rfam.
CAAGAUUCUCGGGGUAGGGUGAAAUUCCCAACCGGCGGUAAUGUUCAAAGCGAACUGAGCCCGCGACUCACUUGUUCUGCUUGCAGAGAAGUGACUGAUCUGGUGUGAAUCCAGAGCCGACGGUAAAGUCCGGAUGGGAGAGGAUCAUA